Molecule: long non-coding RNA, 394 nt
Filed under: Sciurus vulgaris (Eurasian red squirrel)
Lineage: Eukaryota; Metazoa; Chordata; Mammalia; Rodentia; Sciuridae
Description: lncRNA (ENSSVLG00005005752.1)
Source: RNAcentral
CUGGUGGGCAUUCAGGUGGCACCAGGUUUUCUGUGCUUCCAGCACCCCACUCGCCCCUGGAGACAGGCACACAGUGGCUACUCAGAGGCCACCAGCCUGCCCCGCUCUGUGGCCUAUGCCUCUCUCUCCAAUGAUUCCCGCAACUACACCAUGCAGGAGUUUGCCCUGCACUACUUCCGGAAGCCAUCCACCUUGCUGGACCAGAGAGGUGGCAGUGCCCAGGGGAAGGUCACAGCCAGCCUGGUGCAGUACACCAAGUCUCCCAUCCAGGAAUCUCUCAUCAGACUCAGUGACGAGGACCUGAGCAGGCAGGCUGCAGCGGGCUUCCAGGGUGAGUGGUGUGGGCAUCCUGGGUCCCCAUGUCACCAGUGCCUUGGUCCUAUGCACCAGGUCC